CCUACGGGCGUCAGCAGUGAGGAAUAUUGGUCAAUGGACGAGAGUCUGAACCAGCCAAGUAGCGUGAAGGAUGACUGCCCUAUGGGUUGUAAACUUCUUUUAUAUGGGAAUAAAACGUUCCACGUGUGGGAUUUUGUAUGUACCAUAUGAAUAAGGAUCGGCUAACUCCGUGCCAGCAGCCGCGGUAAUACGGAGGAUCCGAGCGUUAUCCGGAUUUAUUGGGUUUAAAGGGAGCGUAGGUGGAUUGUUAAGUCAGUUGUGAAAGUUUGCGGCUCAACCGUAAAAUUGCAGUUGAAACUGGCAGUCUUGAGUACAGUAGAGGUGGGCGGAAUUCGUGGUGUAGCGGUGAAAUGCUUAGAUAUCACGAAGAACUCCGAUUGCGAAGGCAGUUCACUGGACUGCAACUGACACUGAGGCUCGAAAGUGUGGGUAUCAAACAGGAUUAGAUACCCUUGUAGUC
RNAcentral lists this ribosomal RNA (460 nucleotides) under uncultured bacterium. RNAcentral describes it as "partial 16S ribosomal RNA". It matches the Rfam family "Bacterial small subunit ribosomal RNA", at positions 338 to 795 of the family's 1533-position model. The record is from RNAcentral.